This 450-nucleotide ribosomal RNA is filed under the name uncultured bacterium. Its description in RNAcentral is "partial 16S ribosomal RNA". It matches the Rfam family "Bacterial small subunit ribosomal RNA", at positions 354 to 796 of the family's 1533-position model. The record is from RNAcentral.
GUGGGGAAUUUUGGACAAUGGGCGCAAGCCUGAUCCAGCAAUGCCGCGUGCAGGAAGAAGGCCUUCGGGUUGUAAACUGCUUUUGUACGGAACGAAACGGUCCGGGUUAAUACCCUGGGCUAAUGACGGUACCGUAAGAAUAAGCACCGGCUAACUACGUGCCAGCAGCCGCGGUAAUACGUAGGGUGCAAGCGUUAAUCGGAAUUACUGGGCGUAAAGCGUGCGCAGGCGGUUUUGUAAGACAGGCGUGAAAUCCCCGGGCUCAACCUGGGAAUUGCGCUUGGGACUGCAAGGCUGGAGUGCGGCAGAGGGGGAUGGAAGUCCGCGUGUAGCAGUGAAAUGCGUAGAUAUGCGGAGGAACACCGAUGGCGAAGGCAAUCCCCUGGGCCUGCACUGACGCUCAUGCACGAAAGCGUGGGGAGCAAACAGGAUUAGAAACCCUAGUAGUCC